Molecule: transfer RNA, 72 nt
Filed under: Danionella translucida
Lineage: Eukaryota; Metazoa; Chordata; Actinopteri; Cypriniformes; Danionidae
Also listed under: 1 other name
Rfam family: tRNA
About the family: Transfer RNA (tRNA) molecules are approximately 80 nucleotides in length.
Source: Rfam by way of RNAcentral
GCCCAGAUAGCUCAGACAGUAGAGCAUAGACUUUUAAUCUAAUGGUCCAGGGUUCAAGUCCUUGUUUGGGCA